Molecule: unclassified non-coding RNA, 289 nt
Filed under: fungal sp.
Lineage: Eukaryota; Fungi
Description: partial internal transcribed spacer region
Source: RNAcentral
AAGUCGUAACAAGGUAACCGCGGUUGGAUCAUUAACAAAUGAUUUCGUUUUGAACCAAAACACUAUGUGCAACUACAUCUGUUUCUGGUGGUUUUUGUGUAUUUCUCUCUUGCCCAAUGCUCCCAAACGUCAAAUUUGUGUCGAUGUUCACUCAAGCACGGGUAGAAAAUAGCAUAAGGAGAUCGCGGCCACCGAAUGACCAAUCAACUUUUUGCAUUUUUUUUUUGUCUGAAUCGUUCACAUUUUGUGCAAUGAAAAACCAUUUUUAACAACGGAUCUCUUGGUUCUC